This is a non-coding RNA of Cinara cedri, 325 nucleotides long. NCBI's taxonomy places the organism in Eukaryota, Metazoa, Arthropoda, Insecta, Hemiptera, Aphididae. The record is from the annotation of a GenBank genome assembly.
AUAAUAAUAAUAAUAAACAGUGUGAUAAUAACAACAACAACAACAACAACAACAACAACAAACGGCUCAAGGAGGAGGUGGAUAACAACGGGCGAUUGUCAUUCGGAACGCGAGAAUUACGGGAUCGCGUGUGCGCGUGCGUUCGCGCCCCAUUGUGUUCGCGUUCGCGGUGACCGUAUUCGCGGUGUUACCGUACGGCGCACAAUCGCACACGUAUAUUAUAAUAAUAAUAAUAAUAAUAAUAAUAAUAGUAAUAGUAAUAAUAAUAUGAUAUGAUAUUCACAAAAGGCGCGUUAUCCCCCGACGGUGUGCGUACCUGAAGCUA